CCAUGCUAGUCGCACGAGUUCAUACUCGUGGCAUAUAGCUCAGUAACACGUGGCCAAACUACCCUAUGGACGACUAUAACCUCGGGAAAACUGAGGCUAAUAGUCGAUACAGCUCUCACGCUGGAAGAGCAGAGAGCUGGAAACGUUCCGGCGCCAUAGGAUGUGGCUGCGGCCGAUUAGGUAGAUGGUGGGGUAACGGCCCACCAUGCCCAUAAUCGGUACGGGUCAUGAGAGUGAGAGCCCGGAGACGGUAUCUGAGACAAGAUACCGGGCCCUACGGGGCGCAGCAGGCGCAAAACCUUUACACUGCACGACAGUGCGAUAAGGGGACUCCGAGUGCGAGGGCAUACAGUCCUCGCUUUUCUGUACCGUAAGGUGGUACAGGAACAAGUGCUGGGCAAGACCGGUGCCAGCCGCCGCGGUAAUACCGGCAGCACGAGUGAUGGCCAAUAUUAUUGGGCCUAAAGCGUCCGUAGCUGGCCGAGCAAGUCCGUUGGGAAAUCGACGUGCCUAACACGUCGGCGUCCAGCGGAAACUGUUCGGCUUGGGGCCGGAAGAUCCGAGGGGUACGUCCGGGGUAGGAGUGAAAUCCCGUAAUCCUGGACGGACCGCCGGUGGCGAAAGCGCCUCGGAAGGACGGACCCGACAGUGAGGGACGAAAGCCAGGGUCUCGAACCGGAUUAGAUACCCGGGUAGUCCUGGCCGUAAACAAUGCUCGCUAGGUGUGGCGCAGGCUACGAGCCUGCGCUGUGCCGUAGGGAAGCCGUGAAGCGAGCCGCCUGGGAAGUACGUCUGCAAGGAUGAAACUUAAAGGAAUUGGCGGGGG
Molecule: ribosomal RNA, 826 nt
Filed under: uncultured Halapricum sp.
Lineage: Archaea; Methanobacteriati; Methanobacteriota; Halobacteria; Halobacteriales; Haloarculaceae
Description: bacterial SSU rRNA
Rfam family: Archaeal small subunit ribosomal RNA
Source: RNAcentral